UGUCUCUCUUUCACUUUGCUCAAAUGGACUGAUGUCUUUAUUGGUCAUUCAAGUGGGGCAAAGGAAAUGUUCUUCUUAAAACUCAGGCAGAUGAAGUGUUUGCUCACGUAACCUGUCAGAUUGAAGUAGAU
Molecule: small nucleolar RNA, 131 nt
Filed under: Ictidomys tridecemlineatus (thirteen-lined ground squirrel)
Lineage: Eukaryota; Metazoa; Chordata; Mammalia; Rodentia; Sciuridae
Description: Spermophilus tridecemlineatus (thirteen-lined ground squirrel) Small nucleolar RNA SNORA27
Rfam family: Small nucleolar RNA SNORA27
About the family: ACA27 is a member of the H/ACA class of snoRNA that guide the sites of modification of uridines to pseudouridines.
Source: Rfam by way of RNAcentral